This is a long non-coding RNA of Xyrauchen texanus (razorback sucker), 782 nucleotides long. RefSeq lists it as uncharacterized. The transcript is spliced from 2 exons. The record is from RefSeq and is a predicted model, not a curated record. Lineage: Eukaryota; Metazoa; Chordata; Actinopteri; Cypriniformes; Catostomidae.
AGAAAGCAGGGGCGGAGCCAGGAGUUUUUCAAAAAGAUGGCCAGGCAGGGGCAAGCAAUCAGCCAACCCUAGCUCCGCCACUGGGAGAAAGAGGAGAGUUGGAGAGAAAUUGCCAGAUUUCUUGGACAGUCAGGUCCAGCAUCACAUCUAACUCAUGCCGGAUGAGCGCUGUCACCUGUCACCUUUCUCAGCGUUGGUUAGGAUGAACCAAUCACAGUCAUCUGUUAUUACUGGAUGGAUGAGUAGUUUAAGAAUGAUUAUAUAGAAAGUAGGACAAAUCACUUCAGGUAAACGUUUGAUGUUCUUAGAGAAAAUAGUAUUAUUUAAAGCAUUCUGUAAUGACACCUCAUUGUUUAUUUUCAGUUUUUGCACAUAAAAUAUGUUCUGUUCUGUCAUUAUGACACUGCUAGUCAUUUUAUUUUGACAGUUCUGGGUUAUAAAAAUGCAGCGAAGUUCUAGCAGAAAGACUAGCAGAUGUACAUCAUCGCACCAUUAGCUGGGUAAUUCCCAGACAAUCAGAUGUAAUCCAUUGCUUUAUAAGUCUGCUCACAAUCUGUCAGAUUGCUGUUUCAGUGUGCUAACACAGCAACCUCCACCACCCCACCACCACAAGUUGAGUCCCGUGCUGCACGGGGGUAUGCUCCUCACCCCUGCCUUCCAUCUCCGGCAGGAUAUGACGGUUCCGAGUACAACUUCUUCGGACCACCAGACGGGACUUACGCCAAAGAGAGACAUUACAUUUCUGUUUUAUAUUCAUCAAAUAAAUGUCAUCUUCAAUUUCA